RNAcentral lists this ribosomal RNA (387 nucleotides) under uncultured bacterium. Its description in RNAcentral is "bacterial SSU rRNA". It matches the Rfam family "Bacterial small subunit ribosomal RNA", at positions 30 to 417 of the family's 1533-position model. The record is from RNAcentral.
AUUGAACGCUGGCGGCAGGCCUAACACAUGCAAGUCGAGCGGUAGAGAGGUGCUUGCAUCUCUUGAGAGCGGCGGACGGGUGAGUAAUGCCUAGGAAUCUGCCUAGUGGUGGGGGAUAACGUUCGGAAACGGACGCUAAUACCGCAUACGUCCUACGGGAGAAAGCGGGGGAUCUUCGGACCUCGCGCCAUUAGAUGAGCCUAGGUCGGAUUAGCUAGUUGGUGAGGUAAUGGCUCACCAAGGCGACGAUCCGUAACUGGUCUGAGAGGAUGAUCAGUCACACUGGAACUGAGACACGGUCCAGACUCCUACGGGAGGCAGCAGUGGGGAAUAUUGGACAAUGGGCGCAAGCCUGAUCCAGCAAUGCCGCGUGCAGGAUGAAGGCCU